Molecule: long non-coding RNA, 409 nt
Organism: Halichondria panicea
Lineage: Eukaryota; Metazoa; Porifera; Demospongiae; Suberitida; Halichondriidae
Exons: 2
Source: RefSeq, a predicted model, not a curated record
CUAACAAGUGGGCGGUGUCAUCUAUUUGACUCAAGCAAGAGAAGUUUAUACUUGAGAAGUAUGGAGCUUUCCCUAGGCCCUCUGUUCAACAUGCCUGCAGGAGAAGUACCUGAAGGAGGCACACAACGUCCGGUUUGCCAGUGUGUUUAGAACAGAGAAGAACCCGACAUACUUCAGCCGUCGCCUGGCCACCUUCUCCAACCUGUACACCUCCUCUUUCAACAACCUCAUGAACUAUUCUCUGGACUACACCUUCAUUCCGAGGAGGGCAGCCCUACCCACAUGAACCAGACCUUGAUUUUUGAUUAUUUUCCCCAAGAGUUUGGCUUUUAUAUUAAAAAAUAAUAUUAUAGAAACACAUGCUCUGAAACAUUUACGAUGAAAACUCAUUGAAAAUUUAUUAUUAAAA